UACGUAGGCAGCGAGCGUUGUUCGGAAUUACUGGGCGUAAAGGGCGCGUAGGCGGCCUUCUAAGUCGAACGUGAAAUCCCCGGGCUCAACCCGGGAACUGCGUCCGAUACUGGAAGGCUUGAAUCCGGGAGAGGGAUGCGGAAUUCCAGGUGUAGCGGUGAAAUGCGUAGAUAUCUGGAGGAACACCGGUGGCGAAGGCGGCAUCCUGGACCGGUAUUGACGCUGAGGCGCGAAAGCCAGGGGAGCAAACGGG
This 253-nucleotide ribosomal RNA is filed under the name uncultured bacterium. RNAcentral describes it as "partial 16S ribosomal RNA". It matches the Rfam family "Bacterial small subunit ribosomal RNA", at positions 524 to 776 of the family's 1533-position model. The record is from RNAcentral.